Long non-coding RNA from Ictalurus punctatus (channel catfish), 363 nucleotides. NCBI's taxonomy places the organism in Eukaryota, Metazoa, Chordata, Actinopteri, Siluriformes, Ictaluridae. The record is from Ensembl.
GUUGAUAGAUAGAUAGGGUGCCAAUACUUGUAGAGUUGAUAGAUAGAUAGGGUGCCAAUACUUGUAGAGUUGAUAGAUAGAUAGGGUGCCAAUACUUGUAGAACACACAGAUAGAUAGAUAGGGUGCCAAUACUUGUAGAGUUGAUAGACACACAGAUAGAUAGAUAGGGUGCCAAUACUUGUAGAGUUGAUAGAUAGGGUGCUAAUACUUGUAGAACAGAUAGAUCGAUAGGGUGCCAAUACUUGUAGAGUUGAUAGAUAGAUAGGGUGCCAAUACUUGUAGAGUUGAUAGACAGAUAGAUAGGGUGCCAAUACUUAUAGAGUUGAUAGAUAGGGUGCCAAUACUUGUAGAGUUGAUAGACA